AAAGCCAUAAUUUUUUUUGUGGAUUAUUAGGCUGCAUUAUUGGCUCGUUGUGACAAUAUAUUAAAUUAAAUCAAUAUUUUUAUCUUGCCGUAGUCGUCGCACCCACACUGUACCUACUUAAAAGUUUAAUGCAUGUCAUUUUGUUUUGUGUCGUGAUUCGUGACUUUGUCGAUUGUCUAUCUAAACCUUGGUGUUUCAGCAUUUUUACUCUCCUGCUGACCAAAGACUGUUGAUUGAAUCUCAGAAGAAUCAUGUCUUUGUUUGGGGAGAUUGGUGAGCCUUCUUCUCGCGCUGAUUUUGAAGAUUGGGAUGGACCUCCAUCUGAUAAACCAAAGUUGCAAUGGAAAACAAAUUCAUUUGUUCGUCCAAAAAUUGUUGAUGCAGUACUCAUAUUUGAAGGAGAAUAUUUGUUUCAUUGCAUCUUUGCUCAAACAAAAAACAACUUGAAGUUGAAAAACACCGUUGAAGAAAUUGGUUUGAGCCUGUAUAAGAUUAUACUAACCAAUAAUUAUGUGUUUGUAGUUCGAGACUAUGAUAUGCCCAGAACUGGUGAAGUUGUCGAAUUAAUACGUUAUUUUCUGAAUGAGUCAAAGGAAGUGCUCACUCUGCAAACUAGACCCUUGACUGAGUAUCAGUCGCCAAAUCCAGUUUGUCAAAGUGUUAUAAGAACAGUGUCUACUACCAACGUAAAAUCUAAUGAUCUACUGUACCCAGCAUUGGAACAGCCAAAUAUGUUAACUGGAAUCUCAGCUGGAGUAAUAAGCCUGAGAGAACACCUGGGUCUUGCUGGUAAAACUAUUGUAUGCUAUGUCUCAAAUCCUAGAAGGUGUCUUGAGAAUGAUGUGCAGAUAAUGCUUGAAAAACUUGCUAUUGGCCCACCCAGCUCACCAAGCAGUAUUGAUAUGGAUACAAAUCUAUACACAUAAAAUGAAUGGUGUUUUGGACAGUGACCAAAAAUGUAUGGAGCGUGGUCUAAAUGUCCACCACUAACGAGACCUUUGUAGUAAAAUAGUCUACUAAAUACUGAUUCAUUAUAACCAAACUGCAAUCAAAAAUAUGCUGUCAGUAAAAACUUAUGACUGAAUUAAAAGUCAUGUUUUUUAAACCUUUUCAGCCAAAAAAUGUUCUUGAUAUCAUUCAAUCCAUCGCACAUUUUGGACUAAUCUAUGCAUGUCGCGUAGUGUGCCGUGUUAAGUUCUCGCUAAAAGAAAAAAAAAUAAGCUCAGAAAAAAGACAACAAUAUUGGAAUACUUGCAAUAAUGCGAAAGGGGUAAAAAUAGUCUUAUUUCCAACUGGCGCGGGGUUAUAGAUGAAUUAUAUUACAUAUUAUACUAGCUGUGCCUACGACUUUGUAUGCGUGAAAAUAGUUUGAAUAAUAUUUCCCAAUUUUACAACAUUUUUCUUUACUGCUCCGCCCCUAUUGGUUUUAGGGUGAUGUUAUACAGUGUGUCCGGGCUUGUAGUGAUCAAACUUUAUGGGCGUAAUCUAUGGACAAUUUUAUCGAUGAAAAUACUUCAAAUUUGGGGCAUGACCCAUUUCUCGCAAAAUUACGAGGAUUUAAGUUUUUAAUUUUUAGUUUUCACCUCUUCCUUCAAAAACAAGUGAAAGCGUAUUUAGUUUAACACUAAUAAGCAAACAUUUUAUAUCAUGCGAUAGCCAAUAAAAUUAUCUAUUAGCAGAAGUAGAAAACAGAUACAAGUUUCAUACAUUUUAAGGGAGUAAGAAUGGAUUUAAUUAGAAAAAAACAUGACUUUUUUCACUUCUUUUUCAGUUAUUUUCCAACACAAGAAAAACCAGGUCGUUAAGGUAUGUUUAAUUUGCAUUGUAUUAUUAGUAUUUGAGCUAUUCUACAAAACGAAUGUAAAUUUAUUAGUGUACGUUUAUUAGUUUCGACGUAAUUGUUGAACAAAGAUACUACCCCUUCCCAGCGGUUUCCAUAGCGCACGCGACAUGCGAAAAUGCACUGCCUGAAAGAAUCACACAACCUAUUCCGAUUACUAUGGAAACCGCUGGGAAGGGGUAUCUUUGUUCAACAAUUACGUCGAAACUAAUAGACGUAGACUAAUAAAUUUACAUUCAUUUUGUAGAAUAGCUCAAAUACUAAUAAUACAAUGCAAAUAAAACAUACCUUAACGACCUGGUUUUUCUUGUGUUGGAAAAUAACUGAAAAAGAAGUGAAAAAAGUCAUGUUUUUUUCUAAUUAAAUCCAUUCUUACUCCCUUAAAAUGUAUGAAACUUGUAUCUGUUUUCUACUUUUGCUAAAGGAUAAUUUUAUUGGCUAUCGCAUGAUAUAAAAUAUUUGCUUAUUAAUGUUAAGCUACCCACGCUUUCACUUGUUUUUGAAGGAAGAGGUGAAAACUAAAAAUUAAAAACUAAAAUCCUUGUAAUUUUGCGAUAAAUGGGUCAAGCCCCAAAUUUGAAGUAUUUUUAUCGAUAAAAUUGUCCCUAGAUUUCGCCCUUAAAGUUUGAUCACUACAUGCCCGGACACACUGUAUAACCUAAAACCAUCCUUGAUAAUUGGGCUAUUCAUAAGAAAAAGAAUUUUUCAAAUCUGAUCAGUAGUUCCUGAGAUUAGCGCGUAAACUACUACAUUUUUUCAUACAGUCAUAACUUUUUACUGACAGCUUUUUUUCGACCCAUACUGAAAGUUAAUACCUAUUUAAUGGACUAUAAGCCAAUAUAGGUCUCAUUAGUGGUGGACAUUUGGACCACUUUUGGUCAUUGUCCUUAAAUGGUACCUGAAUUAAUUUUGUGUCAGAAAAUUAUAAGUAAUCAAUAGUUAAUUUUAUUAAUAUAGUUAUUUAGAUAUAAAUUGUGUUCAUUACAUUUAAAUUUAGAUGGUUAAUUAAUCACUAAUCAACUUAUUAAGAUUUAAGGGUAAACCAGAAACUAACAACACAAAUGUUCCUGGUUAUUUAGUGGUAACAAUUAUUUCAAUAUAAUAAAAAUUAUAAAGUAUUAGUUUUAACAACCGAAAUACCUGAUGCUUAGGACUGAUUUUGAGAUAACUAAUACACUACAUAAUACUAAAAUCAAA
Long non-coding RNA from Ostrinia nubilalis (European corn borer), 3037 nucleotides. RefSeq lists it as uncharacterized. Lineage: Eukaryota; Metazoa; Arthropoda; Insecta; Lepidoptera; Crambidae. The record is from RefSeq and is a predicted model, not a curated record. The transcript has 4 exons.